Molecule: ribosomal RNA, 403 nt
Filed under: bacterium
Lineage: Bacteria
Also listed under: 1 other name
Description: partial 16S ribosomal RNA
Rfam family: Bacterial small subunit ribosomal RNA
Source: RNAcentral
UGGGGAAUAUUGCACAAUGGGGGAAACCCUGAUGCAGCGACGCCGCGUGAACGAAGAAGGUAUUCGUAUCGUAAAGUUCUGUCCUAUGGGAAGAUAAUGACAGUACCAUAGAAGAAAGCUCCGGCUAAAUACGUGCCAGCAGCCGCGGUAAUACGUAUGGAGCGAGCGUUGUCCGGAAUUAUUGGGCGUAAAGGGUACGCAGGCGGUUUAAUAAGUCGAAUGUUAAAGAUCGGGGCUCAACCCCGUAAAGCAUUGGAAACUGAUAAACUUGAGUAGUGGAGAGGAAAGUGGAAUUCCUAGUGUAGUGGUGAAAUACGUAGAUAUUAGGAGGAAUACCAGUAGCGAAGGCGACUUUCUGGACACAAACUGACGCUGAGGUACGAAAGCGUGGGGAGUAAACAGG